AUUGAACGCUGGCGGCAUGCCUUACACAUGCAGGUCGAACGGCAGCACGGGAGCAAUCCUGGUGGCGAGUGGCGAACGGGUGAGUAAUACAUCGGAACGUGCCCAAUCGUGGGGGAUAACGCAGCGAAAGCUGUGCUAAUACCGCAUACGAUCUACGGAUGAAAGCAGGGGACCGCAAGGCCUUGCGCGAAUGGAGCGGCCGAUGGCAGAUUAGGUAGUUGGUGGGGUAAAGGCUCACCAAGCCAACGAUCUGUAGCUGGUCUGAGAGGACGACCAGCCACACUGGGACUGAGACACGGCCCAGACUCCUACGGGAGGCAGCAGUGGGGAAUUUUGGACAAUGGGCGCAAGCCUGAUCCAGCCAUGCCGCGUGCAGGAUGAAGGCCUUCGGGUUGUAAACUGCUUUUGUACGGAACGAAACGGCCUUUUCUAAUAAAGAGGGCUAAUGACGGUACCGUAAGAAUAAGCACCGGCUAACUACGUG
RNAcentral lists this ribosomal RNA (484 nucleotides) under uncultured bacterium. RNAcentral's name for it is "partial 16S ribosomal RNA". It matches the Rfam family "Bacterial small subunit ribosomal RNA", at positions 30 to 507 of the family's 1533-position model. The record is from RNAcentral.